GAGAGAGUCCGUUUCCUCUCGUGGUAGGUAGCCCCGUCCGGCGGCGCCGAUGCUAAUACCUUCAAUAGCCCCUUGUUGGCUUCACAUCCAAUUCGAGAUAGAAGCGCGGGAUCCCCUCGCCGCGCGCCCUAUUCUGUGUGGACAGAUCCAUUGAGAGGCGCCCUUGAUUCCUGGCUGUUGUAUCAUGGGGUUGCUAGCUCUGAAGAUGCUCAUGUCUAGGCGGCGGGAUAGCAAGCAUCUUUGCGGCCAGAUUCAAGCCCGUAAUAGAUUGGUUACUUCAGUGGUUAAAAGAAAGAUCUCUUCAUGCCAACACAAUAACAAUCAAGGUUGCAAGAGAGUGGCAUUUUCAGGGGCAGACCUUCCAGAGGUACGGCAUACUACAAUGCUGAUAAUACUAGUAAUUAGAGUAAAACACGACUAUGACUAUUCUAGCCUCAAAGUGCACAAAUUGAUAUGGACUGAUCUUGUAGUGCUGCAAUCUCCUGCAGUACGUACUACAACAUUAGUUGCUUUGCUCAUUUCUAACUAUUCCAGCUCAGAACAAAACUCUCUGUCAAGAGAUGAGGGUGAGUUGCUUUGCUAUUUUUGUUCGAUACAUUUUAGCAAGGUAAGAAAGAGAGGUGAGACACAUGGAUAGACCACCACUAAUCCUCACCCUCAAUUGAACAAGUUUUAGAACAAAUUAUUGGUUAAUAGGCUUCAGAGCAGCGGCGAGUCUAGUAGGGGGCCUCAACAGGCUUGAGCCUACCCUCCAGCAAAACAAAAGCUCACCAGUCCAUCUAGAGCCCGUUCGCUGUAGCAAAACAUACGAGCAAUAUCUCUCUGUUCGUAACUUUGCACCCAGCCAGCCGUGAUGCGUCCAACAGAAGUGCAGAAUAAUAGUCGCAACCUCGCAGGACUGCAGCCCUCAACAGAGGAGUGCACCGACAGUAUGGUAGAGGAGCGCGCCGGCAGUAGGGUAGUGGAACGCGGCGGCAGUACCGCAGUAGGGAAUUGGAGCGUGCUGGCCGGCCCACAAAGGAGGGAGAAGGCCACAACCUGGGCAGCUCCACAGCUGGGCGCAUCCCCGCUUUGGCCACUGGAGGGCCAACCCUCAAGAUGUUGGUCUAAUUCUUGAUUUAUUUCGUUAAAUUAGUAACACUAAUGGCUAGCUCAUGAAAUGUUAAAUAGUUUACUGUUGAAUACAGCUUGUUUGCCUAUUUACAAAAAUAAAGAUACUAUGAGUAUUCUAUGAGAAAGAGAUAUCCACAAGCAUAAUUUUCAGUAAUAAUUCUAGUGUUGGGCACUUGGGUAUACUUUUCUUUAUUUUGGUUUGGAGCCGUUCAACAGUAUGGCAGUAUGAAGCAACACUGAUAUCAUUGUUUUUGCCUUCUUUUGCUGUUUUAUUGUUGCUUCUCUCAUACUAAUGUAUUGGUAUGUGAAUUCCUAGUACAUGACACUAUUUUCUAUGAUGAUGCUAAUUUAGUUUAGUCAUCGUUAAUUUUGAGCCCACCCUCCAUUUCCUUUCUGGAUUCGCCACUGCUUCAGAGUAGGAUUCUACAAGUGGUUCAUAGAAAUCAAUACGACCUUUUGAAAUCUCACACAAUACAAGAUUGUCUGGCUUGGGCAUUCGAGUACAUUCCCUUAUUUGGGCUUACCACUUGGUACAACACGUCCUAUAAUUCAAGAUUUUGUGACCCUUGGUGGACUGUGUGGAAAGAAGAUUAAACGUCUGCUCCCGCUUUUUGACAUCUGGUGGCUCUCUAAUUAUGUUAAUUCAGUUAUGUCAGCGCUCCCUACAUUUUACAUAGGCUCUCUUAAGAUUUAGAAAAGGACGAUCCAGUCAAUGGACAGAGCAAGACGCCACUGUCUUUGCGCCAAAGGGAGGAUGGCAUUGAUCAAAAACCCAAAUCCUUGGCUAUAUGGGAUAUAGUUUGCAUGCCAGCAGCUUUUUAAGUUUUACAAUUGUGCUAACAUUUCUUGGCCGCAGCUGGUUAGGCAUGCAUAUUAUCAGAAUUUUGUUCCCCACGGCUCAUUUUGGUGGCGGGACAUUUGUUCUUUUGCUUGGCACUUUCGGGCUAUUACCGCACUUGAUCCAAGAACUGGCAUGACUAUACUUCCGUGUGAAGAUAAGUGGCAUUCUGGAGCUUCACCUCCCGAGAUUUUUAUAAUUUUCUGUUGAGCACAAUAUAUUCCUUGCCCAGGCUGUUCAAACAAAAGAUAUAACAACUUUGUUCAUUCUGCCCCUGUCUGAGCAAGAGUUUGAGGAGCUUUAGGUUGUCUCUGCCCAUUCAGAUGACUGUUCAGGAUGGUCUGUCAGAUUCUUGGACGUGCUGUUUAGAACUUCAAAUGCUGGGCGUUUUACUCCAUCUAGCUACAAAUUCCUAUUUGCUGGUUUGGAGGUUGACCCAAUCUUCUCUAAAUUAUGGAAAAGCAAAUGUAUGACCAAGCUGAAGGUGUUUGCUUGGUUAUUUUUAAUGGAUCGGCUCAAUAGUAGGGGUCUAAUGCUUCGGAAACAUUAGCAUUUGGAGCCUGGUCCCAAUUGUGUGCGCUGCUCUGAGGGAAUUAUUGAAACAAGGAACCAUAUCUUCUUUGAGUGUUCUUUUGUAGCUAGGUGCUGGAAUUUUGCAGAAGUCACUUGGCUCCCAGGACAUCUGGCGCCAUAUACAUUCCCUACUGCCGCUGCGAGAUGCUGCCCGUGUUGCCUGCGUAUCUCAUGCAUUUUUACGUUCCUGGAAAUGCCAUCCCAACCUCUCCUUCACUAGGAAAGCACUGGGCCUGAAUAGAAUUCCACGUCAAAGUGAUGUAAUUGCAAGGGAUCUCACUAUGAAAGUCGACCACAUUCUCAAAAAACACUCAGGCAAAGGAGUUAAGAAAUUCAGGAUCGAAUUACACAUGCCAGUUGAUCCCUGCUAUCUUAAUAGCUGGCUUCAGAUUGCUGCUGAACUACGGGUUGAGGAACUCGCCGUUGUUCUACCUUCAACCUGCAAUGCAAAUGACUACGAUUUCCCUUGUGCACUUUUUGUUGAUGAUGGGUGUAGAAACGCAAUAGAGCAUCUCUGCCUUGGCGGUUGUGCCUUCCAUCCCACAGCUGGAUUUGGUUACUUGAGAAAGCUGCGGCUGUUUUGGGUGCAUAUUACGGUGGAUGAAUUAGAAUGCCUUAUUUCCAAUUCUCCAGCUUUGGAGCACUUGGCACUCAAGUAUUGCUAUACGAUCACUUACCUGAAGAUACCUAGCCUGCUACAGCAUCUCAGCUACCUGAUGGUGGCUGCAUGCGCUAAUCUGCAGACAAUAGAGUGUAAAGCUCCAAAUCUCUCCACUUUUUACUUCAGUGGUUGACAAGUUGAACUUCUGUUUGGAUGUUCAGUUCAAGUGAAGACCAUGGAAAUGCGUUGUUCUACUCAGUGUAACACCAUUUAUAAAUUAUAAUGCUUGUGCCAACCUGCCAUCCAUUGUGCCAAAUAUUGAAACUCUCAGCAUAUCUUCUGUUAGUGAGGUGGUCAAUACACCAAUCGUGCCUGUAAAAUUCCUCCACCUCAAGUAUCUGUCUAUUUCUCUUGAAGGAAAUGGGGCUUUUUCCCCAGACUAUGAUUACUUUUCUCUGGUUUCUUUGCUGGAUGCUUGUCCUGUCUUGGAAACUUUCAACUUGUUUGUGUCACAGGAUCGCAUGAAACACGAUUCGGUUCUUGGAGACCCGUCGUCACGUCUUAGGCAGAUGCCUGAAUACCGCCACGACAACAUUAAGAAUGUGAAGAUUAUUGGGUUUUGCUCUGCGAAGAGCAUGGUCGAGCUGGCAUGCCAUAUUCUCGAGAAUGCAACAUCACUCGAGUGCCUUACUUUGGACACGAUACGUGCUGUUUUUAGUAUUGACAGACACAUUCACAAAACCGGUGAAUGUGGCCACAUAGGCAGGCAUAUGAUCAGAGAAGCACGUAAGGCGCUCUUGGCUGUCAAAAGAUAUAUUGUGGGAAUAGUUCCCUCCACAGUCAAGUUAAAUGUCCUGGAGCCUUGCAAGCUAUGCCAUGCUUUGGCUGUUUAGCUGUGGUAAUAUCAUAAUUUUGUAAAUUACAUUGUGGACCGAACACUGUUGCAUGAGUUGCGACUUGCAGAAACACCCAUGUAGAAGCAUAGGGGCAAGCAAUUAUGGUAUUUUGAUAUAUGAGAGAAGAUAUCAGAAACUAUUAUUAUUAUAGUUGUUGAUAUAUUUUCUUAUAAAACUUGGUCAAAACUUACAGCAUUUGACUCGAGACAAAAGUUAUAGGCCUUCUCUGGGGAGACAAGGGAGUAUCAUGUAACUGAGAUGUGCUAUGCAGUUAUCCCAACAAUCUUGUUUA
This is an RNA transcript of Triticum aestivum (bread wheat), 4313 nucleotides long. RefSeq lists it as uncharacterized. The transcript is spliced from 5 exons. Lineage: Eukaryota; Viridiplantae; Streptophyta; Magnoliopsida; Poales; Poaceae. The record is from RefSeq and is a predicted model, not a curated record.